This 402-nucleotide ribosomal RNA is filed under the name uncultured bacterium. RNAcentral's name for it is "bacterial SSU rRNA". It matches the Rfam family "Bacterial small subunit ribosomal RNA", at positions 917 to 1322 of the family's 1533-position model. The record is from RNAcentral.
GGGCCCGCACAAGCGGUGGAGCAUGUGGUUUAAUUCGAUGAUACGCGAGGAACCUUACCAGGGCUUAAAUGUAAGUUGCAUAGAUCAGAGAUGGUCUUUUCUUCGGACUACUUACAAGGUGCUGCAUGGUUGUCGUCAGCUCGUGCCGUGAGGUGUCAGGUUAAGUCCUAUAACGAGCGCAACCCCUGUCGUUAGUUGCCAGCAAGUAAAGUUGGGCACUCUAGCGAGACUGCCGGUGCAAACCGCGAGGAAGGUGGGGAUGACGUCAAAUCAUCACGGCCCUUACGUCCUGGGCUACACACGUGCUACAAUGGCCGGUACAGAGAGCAGCCACUCCGCGAGGAGGAGCGAAUCUAUAAAACCGGUCUCAGUUCGGAUCGCAGUCUGCAACUCGACUGCGUG